UUCCUCUAAAAAUUGUUUCUCGCCGGAACCAUGACCUCGUCGGUUCUUCUAGAGCGUCAUCGGGCCUUUUCGAGCCUUCUAUGCAAGUUCAUAUUCUCGCGCUCUAUGGGCGGUGGUCCUCGGACCUUCCCCGGAGGCAUUAACAAGUGGCAAUGGAAGCGAAUGCAUGAGAAACGGGCUAAAGAGAAGGAGAAAAGGCUUCUCGAACAGGAGAAGCAGCUCUACCAGGCUCGAGUUCGUUCUGAAAUACGCUCCAAGCUUGCUGGUGAUUACGAAAUUUCGAAGAAUUCGGACCCUUCUACCAGUUACUCCCCAAUGAGCCCUAGUGAGCAUAUUCAUGCUCUAGCUAAUAGGUUCAUGAAAGAAGGAGCGAUUGAUUUGUGGAAUGAAGAUGAUGGUCCAUUGAAGACUCCGAUACCGAGGCCGCAAUUGCACGGAGGAUUACGACGGAUUGCAUCGAAUGAUCGGGGUGGAUUUAUUAGAUCGCCUAUUGAUGUCAAGAAGUUGUUAACGGAGAAACAGGAUGGAUUAGAAGGGCCUCAGAAUAUGGGAUUGGGAAAGUUGAACGGCGAUAAUUUGAAGGGGAGGAGCUAUUCAGUGCAAACUCGAAGGAGCUUCCGCAGAAAUGAGAGCUCAUCGAGUGACGAUGACACGGGGUUUAACUCAGGUGUCGAUUCAGUAAAACCUUUUGUGCAUAAGUUAGCACGUAGCUCUGAUAAAAAUGUGAAAUCAAGAAAUCUUAACAGUGUUAGCAAUGACAGGAAGGCUGUAGCUCAGGGGAAGAUGAAAUUUUGGAGAAAAGGGAGUUCGUCAAGCGAUGAUGAUUCGGAAGAAGAAAUGGAUAAUGUGGAUAAGGAUUUGAGAAGUUGGAAGGAUUUGAGAACUGGGAGUAGUGCUUCCUUGGGGAAGUUUGAUCUGAAAAAGAGGAGGGUACCUCCAAAACCAUAUGGUGAAGAAAGUGAUUUUGCUGAGCAAGUUCAGCUGCUUAGACAUGAACUCAGCAAGAAGAAUGCAGCUGAAGACGAAGGUGAUAAGAACAAGGAGACAAUUUUCACUCAGAAAAGAUUUGACGAGUGUGGCCUAUCUCCGCUGACAGUCAAAGCACUUUCUUCCGCUGGAUAUGUCCGAAUGACUCGUGUACAAGAGGCUACUCUAUCUCUUUGCCUUGAGGGGAAGGACACCUUGGUUAAGUCAAAAACUGGCAGUGGAAAGAGCGUUGCUUUUCUGCUUCCUGCCAUUGAAGCAGUUUUGAAGGCUGCAUGUAGCAGCAGUAAUCAAAGGGUGCCUCCAAUUUCUGUUCUGAUUCUCUGCCCCACCAGGGAACUUGCUAGUCAAAUUGCUGCAGAAGCAAUUGCUCUGCUAAAGUACCAUGAUGGUAUAGGAGUGCAAACGUUAGUUGGAGGCACUCGAUUCAAAGAUGAUCAGAAACGGCUAGAAUCAGUUCCCAGCCAGAUUAUAGUUGCUACUCCUGGUAGAUUGCUUGACCAUGUUGAGAAUAGGUCUGGCUUGUCUGUGCGACUGAUGGGAUUGACAAUGCUUAUUCUUGAUGAAGCUGACCUGUUACUGGACUUGGGAUUUCGAAAGGACAUUGAGAAAAUUGUUGACUGCUUGCCCCGCCGAAGGCAGUCCCUGAUGUUCUCUGCAACUGUUCCAAGGGAGGUCCGGCGAAUAUCUCAGCUAGUUUUGAAAAGGGAACAUGUCUUUGUUGAUACUGUGGGCCUUGGUUGUGUGGAAACUCCUACUCAGGUCAGGCAGUCGUGUCUUAUAGCACCACAUGAAUCUCAUUUUCAAAUUGUAUGCAAUCUUUUGAAGGAACAUAUCUCGUGCACUCCCGAAUACAAGGUUAUAGUUUUCUGUACAACAGGGAUGGUAACAUCACUCUUCUACAUGCUUUUCCGGGAAAUGAAAAUGAACGUCAGAGAGAUGCACGCCAGGAAGCCUCAACUUUAUCGAACACGUAUCUCAGAUGAAUUCAAACUGUCAAAACGGCUCAUUCUUGUUACAUCUGAUGUUUCAUCUCGUGGUAUGAAUUACCCUGACGUUACCUUGGUCAUACAGGUGGGCAUACCAUUUGACAGGGAGCAAUAUAUACAUCGUCUUGGACGAACAGGACGUGAAGGCAAAGAAGGUCAAGGUAUCUUGUUGAUUGCACCAUGGGAGGAAUAUUUCCUGGAUGCGUUAAAAGAUCUGCCUCUUGAAAGAUGCGCUCUGCCCCAGUUGGAUUCAGGCUUAAAGCUAAAGGUAGAGGAAUCAAUGGCAAAGAUUGAUACCUCCAUCAAAGAAGGUGCAUAUCAUGCAUGGCUAGGUUAUUACAACUCAAUCAGAGAAAUUGGCAGGGAUAAAACUACUCUGGUUGAGCUUGGCAAACAAUUCUCCGAGUCAAUUGGUCUUCAAAAGCCACCUGCUCUUUUCAGGAAGACAGCCCUAAAGAUGGGUUUGAAAGAUAUACCCGGCAUAAAAAUUCGGAAGUAGUUUUUGCACGGUAUGAACAUCAAUUUCGUGUUCGUUUAUCACACAUAAUCAGGAGAGGAAUGAGAAUAUUUUUCAACACCCAAGGUACACAUUCAAACAGAAGUGCAAGAUCCAAGUCGUCUUGCCCAUAUACGUGCAGGAAUGUAUAUCAAGCUGAGUUGUCGUGCCACGUGACAGUUAACUAUCUUAAUGUGAUUGAUAUCGACGUGUGAAUGGAUUGUUCGAUUGAUCUUGACGUGUGAAUGGAUUGUGUAUGAACUCUUUAGAUUUCCCAUUGAAUAACUCCUUUUGCCUUCAUUUUCAAUUCAAAUAUCAAUAUGUUUCGUUGUAAUUUCUUGGUGAAGACCACCACAUUUGGAUUUUUAUGUGCCUCAAUUAUUGGAACAUAUAAACAUAGCUUAAUCUA
Cucurbita pepo subsp. pepo (vegetable marrow) is the source of this 2878-nucleotide RNA transcript. It is a transcript of the gene named putative DEAD-box ATP-dependent RNA helicase 48, with no coding region annotated. Lineage: Eukaryota; Viridiplantae; Streptophyta; Magnoliopsida; Cucurbitales; Cucurbitaceae. The record is from RefSeq and is a predicted model, not a curated record.